CGAUUGUGAAAACCUAGAUCGCGAUUCACUCCCCAAUCCCCGUCCAUCCGCUCCUCCCCCAAUCCCCAUCUCUCCUCCUCCCCAACCGUGGCGGCGCGCCCAUUCCUCCGGCCUUCCACCCGCGGCUGCAUCCCGACUACAGCGGUUGGAUGGCGACGGUCAGAGGUGGCGGACGACAGUGCGUGCCGAUUGAGGGCAACGCGGAGAAGAAGCAGCGGGGGCGGCACAGAGAAGAAGCAGCAGGGCGGCUCCGCCUCUUCCAGCUGGUGGGGUGGAGCUGCAAGUAGAGGAAGCCCACACGACGGCAGGGCGGCGACCCCACGACCUCCAGCAUCCUCACCUCCUCAAGCCCCGGUUGUAACGCCAUCAACACGGAGAGUGGCGGCGGUGCGGCGCUGCGAGCUUGAGAAGAUCGUCCACAGCCAGCCAGGGCUCGAGAUAUGGCGGAUCGAGGGCUGCAGCAGCGCUGGGGUCGAUAUAGGUGGUGGUGGAGGCCGCCUCCUCUCCUCCUCCCCCAAUUCUUCCGCUCCUAAAGGCAGUGGUGGAGGCUCGCCGAACCCAGACGGCCGACAUGCCUAGGAGACGCGGGUUUGCUCAGGUUUUCUUUUCCCUCAUUUCUCCACUCUUCAUCUCUGUCUAUCUCUAGCAGCUCUCAUUCUCGUUUCUCUACUUCUUUCCGUGGACAAGGGCGCAGCUGCAAGGAACUAGGCAGUAGGUGUGAGUCAAGACGGCGAGCAGCAGCGGCGGAGGGCGAUGGCACGCCUCCUCCUCUCCUCUCCCAGGUCGCCCCCAUCCAUCUCGUCUUCUCUCAUUCCGACCAAGAUCCAAGGCUCCCUCUCGAUCUCUCUCCUCUUGGUGUUCAGCGGCACAAGGCAUUGGAGGAGGACUGCCAGGAGGUGGUUGCUGCUUCCCUAGAAUCCAUGAGGAAGCUAGAGCUCCCGGCCCCCCUUUGCUACAGACCUAGGUUAAAAAGGCGCUGGCUAGCUAACUGUUCUUUCAAGCUGGUAAACCAUAUGUGGUGGUUCGAAGCUUGGUCACCCCUCCGUGGUGCCCAGCUGCAGUCCUGGAUGUGGAGGAGGAGCAGGAUAUCCUGGAGAAAGCGAGCGUGCCAGUGGCGGCUUGAGUGAUGCAGGCGUCGGUCAGCAGAUAAACUUUUUCUUGUCACAUAUCCUAUGUAGUGUCCAUCCCGGUUCUGGGGAAUUGAUUUGGGCAACUCUUGAAGUUUGGUUCUCACAUAUUGGUCCUGAAAGAUAAUGUUUGUGCAAGUGGCCAAUUGAUGUUACGCUUAUUUGAAAGCCAUAAGGAAGUCAGUGAUGAAGGAGCUGACCAUCAUCGAAUGCAUCGGUUGCUAUCCAAUCCAUGUAUAUUGCAAGCCCGGUACGAUGGUGGCCAAAUGGGGUUUGACACAAGGGGCAAGGCUGGAUGGAGCUUUCAGGGCCUCCGGUUUGGCGGUGGCAUGCGACUAUCAUAUAGGAAGUGGUUACCAUAAUGCAGCGGGCAAAAAACAAGUUGUUGCUAAAUGGUUAGCAAGACCGUUCGGACUGAAUAAAUGUCAAGAAGCUGUAAAAGAUGAUUCAGGGGUCACUGCAGAGGAUGGAAUUAGAUAGAGGAACGCACACAUAGAGGUAUAACCUGAAGGGAGGAGCAAGGAUAUGGUGAUGUGCUUUGAUGGUGGAGCCGGGUGUCACGGUCAUGGCCUUUCCUUUUUGCCGCUGGUGGCGCUAGAUGGCAUCGACGGCAUGGAGUCAAACCUUUGACCAACAACAACGACAAGGAAAAUUUAUUGAGACGCAAUAAUCAAGACAAAAGCAGCAAAAUUCUGAAGAGGGAGUACUUCGCGGGGGUGAGCUAGGUGGAGGCGCGAAUCGAGCUAAGGUUGGCGGCGCGGAAGCGAGCGUGAGUCGCAAGUGCAGGUGGGGGAGUGGAGGCGAUGCUGCGAGCGCUGAGUGAAGGCUGGCGGCGCGUAAGCGAGUGUGGGUCACGGGCGGAGCUGAGUGGUCACCAGCGUCUCUUUGCCGGCCAAAGGGGAGGCGACGACGGUUGGACAAGCAGGCAAGGGAGGACCGGACCAGGGAAGGUGUUGCAGCAGCGAUAUCCAUGGGGAAGCGGAGAGAGGCCAGUGGGAGGCUUUCUCAGCCAUGAUUCCGCCUCUGGGACGCCGAAUGAGACGCCGAACCGUGUCCAUCUCCGCCCUGAAGGCUAUGCACCGCCAUGGAAGGUCCACCACAGCCCCGCCGACUCUCCAAGAUGGCGCCUCUUCCUCGUCACGCGGGGCAGCGACGACGACGGCCAUCUUUGGUGGAUCCGGCUGCCUAGCGGUCACCGGCACAGUGUUAGGUAAAUUCUGGGGCAGGCAGCGAAUGGCUGAUGGUGUGAAUGCCUGUGGCUGAUGGCGUGGAUGGCUGCCACCGAGUACUUAGUUAGCGGAUUAGAUGGGGUGGAGGUAAUGGAGGGAGGGUGCGGAUGUCCGUGAACGAAUACUCGGUCAAUGGAUUAGAUGGGCGGAGGGAAUGGAAGAAGGUGUAGCAGAUCAAGGCGGAGAGGUAGGGAGAUAGGUUAAAAGGAAUCGCCAUGGAGAUGGAAGGUAUCAGCCGAGAAUAGUGGUGGAAAUUGUUUUCACGGGGCAAACAUUUGUGAUAGUUUCUGGUUCCUUUGUAUCGGUUAAGGGGCCUAAAAUCUCGAACCAAACUAUUUCUGUCCUGCUACUCACAAUAAAUAGAAAUAUUUUUCUUGGAAUUAGUAACUGUUCUUUUAUGCUUAUUUUAUAAUGCUACUUCUUUCGCUACAAUAACCAUGCUAAGUUAGUGUGAAAGCAUAAAAGCUGAAAAAAAUAGUGUGAAAUCAUGCUAAAUUAUUAUAUCUUACUUCAGCACUUGGGCUAAUUCUUAAUACUGAAAUAAGCUAAAAUUUAUGGUUCAAAAUUGCUGAACGGCAUUUCUUCUUAUGUGCUAAUGGUAUUGUUUGCAUUUGGUAAAUGAAUAUGUAACUCUGCAAACAUAUUUCAACAUGCAUGUAUUGGCUCUAGGAUAUGACAAGAUGAAUAUGAUAGGAUCAUAUGUCUUUUGGAGUGUCUCUGCUUCUGUGUGAAAUUGGAGCUUUCUGUUUAUAAUCUAUUAUUUGGUUGUUUGAUUUGGUGUAUAAAUCCUAAGAAAGGUAUUAUGUACUUCAUAGUGUUUGUGAGGCUCUGACCCUGCUGUUGGACGUGAUUUACAAAGCAUCAAACAAUGAGCUUGGACAAGAGGGCGAUGAUGUUGUUAACACAGAGAAAACAAAGAGGAAUAUCAAUGUCUGGAGGAAGCUUCAUCGCCACCGUCCGUCGCUUCUUGUCGUCUUCCACCACCAGUUCUCCAGUGUGAUGUUCACCGGCCAUGCUGCAACGACAUCCGCGGGCUCACCAUUCUCCUGCUCUAGCCCCUUGCUCACUAUCCAUGCCGGCAUUCCAUGGUAGAGUCAUUAUGGAUGGGAAGGAGCGAAGGGCUGAGCAUCCGCGUGGAUGAUGUGCAUCAUGACUCUCGGUGACUAUCGUCUCUGUCCCUUGCUCUUCGUCCAACUUCCUUGAGCCACAAGGGGUGUUGACUGUCGAGUGAGCAGCAACACCAAAUAAAGCAGCCUGCAUGUAUCUAUGCAGAUUGUUCUUUGCAGAUUUGUCACUUGUGGUGGUGUUUAGACAAUUCUCUGUUGUCAGGUUUCUUUUCUCAACGAGGCUUAUUAUCGGAGAAACCGGCGAUAAUGAUGUAUAGUGAUCUUGGUAUGCGAGUAUGAUCAGGACCACUUGGUCUGGCCUGCGCACAUUUUUUCUUUACUUCUUAGUAAGGAUCUGGUGUAUUCUUACUGAAUGAAAUGAGGCUUAUUAUCGGAGAAACCGGCGAUAAUGAUGUAUAGUGAUCUUGGUAUGCGAGUAUGAUCAGGACCACUUGGUCUGGCCUGCGCACAUUUCUUCUUUACUUCUUAGUAAGGAUCUGGUGUAUUCUUACUGAAUGAAAUGAGGUUACUUCAACUGUACUUAUUUUCAAUUGUACUUAUUGUAUGUGUUGAUGGAACCCAAAAAGUAACAUGUUAUACACAUUUAUUUCUCUUUGCUAUGAACAAAUGGUUGGAUGCAACAAAUGAUGCUCCUGGUAUGUACAUGUGUUAUCUUAGACAGU
This is a non-coding RNA of Lolium perenne, 4145 nucleotides long. Lineage: Eukaryota; Viridiplantae; Streptophyta; Magnoliopsida; Poales; Poaceae. The record is from RefSeq and is a predicted model, not a curated record.